GAAAAAGGUGUAGAUUCACGCGCAGAGCACGGCAGAUGUUUAUUACGCCUUCGCAGGAGGCAGGAAUCGUGGUCACAGGCAAGCAAUUGUCAAACACAGGUAGGUAGUCGAAAACAAACAAUACCUCACAACCAUACAAACAGAAAGAACUGAACUAAAUAGGGAGCUGAUGAGACCAGCUGAGAAACGAACACAGGUGAAAUCAAUGAACAAAAAUGAAAGAGACUACGUUGAAGAACACGAAGAAACAGAACAUAAGAUGUGGGUGAUUUGCCUGAUCCCUCAGUCCCAGGCCUACCAGAAGGGUAUCCUUUUUGUGGAGCAAUUCAGCUGUGCCACAUGUUUUGACUGACGCAGUCCUGAAACAAGAGAUCAACGCAUCAAUUCUUGGACUCAAACAGCAGCUGGAGGAUGUAUGCAACGGCCUGAGAGAGAUUAAUCAAUCAUUGAAAGAACUUGUUGAUUGUGUCAAACAUGUGAGACAAUAAAUUCUGGUGCAAUGUAAAUGUGUUUUCCUUGUCAAUUUGAUUACAAUAUUUGGAAGAACAGAUAUCUAAAACUGUUGUAUGAUAUUGACUCUUGUCCUCAGUGCCAGAGCUAUGGGUGGUGGAAAAAACUCCCUGUCAGGCAUGGGCUCAUCGGGUCUGGGUGGAUGAUUCAGUGGAAUGCCAUUUUUGAUUGCAAUGUUGUGGAAUACACUCCAAGCCUUGACAAUGUAGCAAGCCUAAAAAGGAAUUUGCACAUUGUAUUACAUUCACGUAAUGGCAUUUGAAGGAAUGUCAUUUCAGAGGCAAACCUUGCUAGGCUAGUAUUGCAGUGUGCCUCCUGUCCCAGACAAGCACAACGCCCUUUCAGCAGGCCUAUGGUGCGCUGCACUGUUGUUCUUGUGCUUGCGUGGGCUUCGUUGUACCUUGACUCUUGUUGGUUUGAGGAGUUUGUGAGGGGAGUCAUCAGCCAUGUUUUUAACGGGUAACUCCGGUCUCCUGCAGUUAUGAAACACACCAUUCAGAUAUUGUUU
This 1018-nucleotide long non-coding RNA is filed under the name Salmo salar (Atlantic salmon). Its description in RNAcentral is "lncRNA (ENSSSAG00000082782.1, ENSSSAG00000088447.1, ENSSSAG00075060011.1)". Lineage: Eukaryota; Metazoa; Chordata; Actinopteri; Salmoniformes; Salmonidae. The record is from RNAcentral.